AGGCGGGAAACGCCAACACAUGGAUGGAGGCGGGGGACCCAAUUGGUUCGCCGAAAUCGGACCGGAGCCGUGCGCGGCUCCUUGGGGUGAAGCCAACGCCGUUCCCGCGGGGCGACGUGGCCGGGCAACUCUCUCUGGUUGCACACCAGCCCGAACCCGACAGCUGACCUCGAAGGCGCAUCGAGAGAGGACAU
This 194-nucleotide small RNA is filed under the name Mycobacterium fragae. RNAcentral's name for it is "c-di-AMP sequence". It matches the Rfam family "c-di-AMP riboswitch aptamer (ydaO/yuaA leader)". From Rfam's summary of the family: This family represents a conserved RNA structure found upstream of the ydaO and yuaA genes in Bacillus subtilis and related genes in other bacteria. The ydaO/yuaA element is thought to act as a genetic "off" switch for the ydaO and yuaA genes in its native state. It is believed that the element may be triggered during osmotic shock leading to activation of ydaO, a predicted amino acid transporter gene, and members of the yuaA-yubG operon which code for KtrA and KtrB K+ transporters. Lineage: Bacteria; Bacillati; Actinomycetota; Actinomycetes; Mycobacteriales; Mycobacteriaceae. The record is from Rfam by way of RNAcentral.